CGCGGACAACCGGAAAAUAAAGUUGGGUUAUUAUGUUGUGAUAUUUUAUAUGUUACAAAUAAUGUAAAAUAAAUAUAAUAUAAUUAAAAGUGAGCGAAUUCUGAUGAACGAAGAUUUCUUAAUGUAUUCUAACUUCAAUUGAAUGGAACUUUUUCGGAAGCAGUUGAGUAAAAUGUCCAUGAUAAUUGCAAGCUGUCAAAAUUAGUAUUCUUUUUGGUUUGGCUGAUCGAUAAUGGAUAAUUUAAAAACCACCUUUUUCAUCACAUCUAUCGUCACCAUCAUAAGUGUUUGGUGUGUUGUAUUAUCAUUUGCAAGUCUAUGGAAUAUUCCGCUGUUAAAAUGCCCAGAAGGUCAAGCCAGAAUACACACCGGAGAAUGUGUACGUUUCUUUACCAUUAAUUUCGAUGAUCCUAAUCAUAUUAAACAACCAGCGUCAUUUACGCCUGAGAAGACUAUUAAGGAAAAUGAGGAAAAGUUACUUGAGCUAUUAAGAUCGCUACCAUUACUUAAAACUUAUGCUGAUUAUGACUACGAGUACUGAGUUAAAAGCCCCUAUUAUUGACAGGGCCCUCACUAUUGACACCCUAUUUAAUUUCAUUGUUGAAAUCGGUUAAUAAAAACAAUUUUUAAUAUUUCA
This 637-nucleotide long non-coding RNA is filed under the name Cotesia glomerata. RNAcentral describes it as "uncharacterized LOC123266784, transcript variant X2". Lineage: Eukaryota; Metazoa; Arthropoda; Insecta; Hymenoptera; Braconidae. The record is from RNAcentral.